UACAUAGGGUGCAAGCGUUUGUCCGGAAUUAUUGGGCGUAAAGAGCUCGUAGGUGGUUUGUUACGUCGGUUGUGAAAUUCAGGGGCUCAACCCCUGACUUGCAGCCGAUACGGGCAAGCUAGAGUUUGGUAGGGGAGACUGGAAUUCCUGGUGUAGCGGUGGAAUGCGCAGAUAUCAGGAGGAACACCAAUGGCGAAGGCAGGUCUCUGGCCAAUACUGACACUGAGGAGCGAAAGUCUGGGGAGCGAACAGG
RNAcentral lists this ribosomal RNA (253 nucleotides) under uncultured bacterium. Its description in RNAcentral is "partial 16S ribosomal RNA". It matches the Rfam family "Bacterial small subunit ribosomal RNA", at positions 524 to 776 of the family's 1533-position model. The record is from RNAcentral.